Molecule: ribosomal RNA, 498 nt
Filed under: uncultured bacterium
Lineage: Bacteria
Description: partial 16S ribosomal RNA
Rfam family: Bacterial small subunit ribosomal RNA
Source: RNAcentral
AUUGAACGCUGGCGGCAUGCCUUACACAUGCAAGUCGAACGGUAACAGGUCUUCGGAUGCUGACGAGUGGCGAACGGGUGAGUAAUACAUCGGAACGUGCCUAGUAGUGGGGGAUAACUACUCGAAAGAGUGGCUAAUACCGCAUGAGAUCUACGGAUGAAAGCAGGGGAUCGCAAGACCUUGUGCUACUAGAGCGGCCGAUGGCAGAUUAGGUAGUUGGUGGGAUAAAAGCUUACCAAGCCGACGAUCUGUAGCUGGUCUGAGAGGACGAUCAGCCACACUGGGACGGAGACACGGCCCAGACUCCUACGGGGGGCAGCAGUGGGGAAUUUUGGACAAUGGGCGCAAGCCUGAUCCAGCAAUGCCGCGUGCAGGAUGAAGGCCUUCGGGUUGUAAACUGCUUUUGUACGGAACGAAAAGCCCUGGGUUAAUACCCUGGGGUCAUGACGGUACCGUAAGAAUAAGCACCGGCUAACUACGUGCCAGCAGCCGCCGUAA